AUUGCUUUCAAGAUGGCGGCAAAAUUGACGUGUGAAUCGGGUGUUGCGUGAUUUCAGCACCGCGUUUGGCAAUACUCUGACCUUCAGCGGUGAUCACGGAAACCAAGACCAUAACCCGUGUCCCAGCAAGCGGGCACGGUCACAGUGAAGACAGAAAAACAGUAUGGUCGCAGUGCAGUGAAGACAGAAAAACAUGACUUCCAACGUUUCCAGGUUUCUUAGUGAAGGGAAUUUGAUCUCACGGUUACUAGUAAGGGUUUUCCAACAACCGCCAAGUUCCAGUGUUGUGAUUCCAGGAACUUUUACCAAAAGAACUUCCACGGGGAAUUCCUGUCAUUUGCUUGGAAUUUCCAAUCGAAAUGUCAGCCAGCUGACUAGCUGCAGUUUGGGUAGAAGUCGGCAGAGGGCCAACAUCCAUCCAGGUGACUCCCAUCUUCCAAGGACAAGCAGUUCACUAAUGCAGUGGUAUUUCAACAAAACUCAGAAAAAUAUAUUUCACGAAGACUCUCUUAAGAAAGAUGUCCUUUCGUCAUUCCCUUUUGUCAAAAAGCAUUCCUUGUUCACUCUUAGCUGUUAUGCAAGAAACAACAGCUCGAUUUUCAACAGAAAUGUUUUGAACAUGAAGGAGAAAGAUUUAAGUCAAGCUUGUAGGAUACUUACAACAAGAGGAAGCGAUGUGGAAACCAAAAUAAGACCUGCAGUCAGAACUAGGACCAAACAACCUGCACUGGCAGCUGCAAAGGCGCCAAAGGAGAAGAUGCUGGUGUGUAUAGCGUACAUUACAGCUGAGGAGUAUGGUAAAUGUUACUAGAGACAGUAAUGUUGUAUUGUUGACUUCCCUAUCAGAUGCUGGUGUGUAUAGCGUAUACUACAGCCGAGGAGUAUGGUAAAUGUUACUAGAGACAGUAAUGUUGUAUUGUUGACUUCCCUAUCAGAAUGCUGGUGUGUAUAGCGUACAUUACAGCUGAGGAGUAUGGUAAAUGUUACUAGAGACAGUAAUGUUGUAUUGUUGACUUCCCUAUCAGAUGCUGGUGUGUAUAGCGUACAUUACAGCUGAGGAGUAUGGUAAAUGU
Molecule: long non-coding RNA, 1073 nt
Organism: Branchiostoma floridae (Florida lancelet)
Lineage: Eukaryota; Metazoa; Chordata; Leptocardii; Amphioxiformes; Branchiostomatidae
Exons: 3
Source: RefSeq, a predicted model, not a curated record